Molecule: ribosomal RNA, 253 nt
Filed under: uncultured bacterium
Lineage: Bacteria
Description: partial 16S ribosomal RNA
Rfam family: Bacterial small subunit ribosomal RNA
Source: RNAcentral
UACGUAGGUGACAAGCGUUGUCCGGAUUUACUGGGCGUAAAGAGCGCGCAGGCGGUCGUUCAAGUCGACUGUGAAAGCCCCCGGCUCAACUGGGGAGGGUCACUCGAUACUGAUCGACUCGAAGGCAGGAGAGGGUAGUGGAAUUCCCGGUGUAGUGGUGAAAUGCGUAGAUAUCGGGAGGAACACCAGUGGCGAAGGCGACUACCUGGCCUGUUCUUGACGCUGAGGCGCGAAAGCUAGGGGAGCAAACGGG